AGCCAAUGACACUAACGGUUGCCCGCUUGCCCGGGGCAAGUAAAAUAUUUUUUUGGGCAAGUUGAGAUUUCUUCUGGUUGCCCGAACGGGCAAGUGGAUUUUGGGUGGAUGUUAAUAUUAAGGCUAUUUAUUCAAAUGUUUUUAGAAACUGCAGAACAACCUUUUGUUCCGCAAAAUCACACAAAAUAGAAGUAUUUGCAAUUGAUAGUCUUCUCUUCUCUCGGAAAGCGAGUUAACAGACACGCAUCGCUUUAGUGCGAAUAUAGCCCAGCCUUCUGUCACUCACUCGCAGUGCGGUCUCUGGCAUUGAUUCGCUAAAGAGAUUAUAUGUUUUUUAUUGGUCGUCAUGAAAAAAAACAUAAGGGGUAACACUGUCGUUUUUUAUUGGUCGUCAUGAAAAAAAACAUAAGGGGUAACACUGUUGUUUUUUAUUGGUCUUCAUGAAAAAAAACAUAAGGGGUAACACUGCUGUUUUUUAUUGGUCGUUAUAAAAAAAAAACAUAAGGGGUAACACUGUUGUUUUUUAUUGGUCGUCAUGAAAAAAAACAUAAGGGGUAACACUGUUGUUUUUUUAUUGGUCUUCACGAAAAAAAGACAUAAGGGGUAACACUGUUGUUUUUUAUUGGCCGUCAUGAAAUAAACAUAAGGGGUAACACUGUCGUUUUUAUCAAAUGAAACAUGAGGGGUGACACUGUUGUUUUUUAUUGGUCGUCAUGAAAAAAAACAUAAGGGGUAACACUGUUGUUUUUUAUUGGUCGUCAUGACAAAAAACAUAAGGGGUAACACUGUUGUUUUUCCAUUGGUCGUCAUGAAUAAAAACAUAAGGGGUAACACUGUUGUUUUUUAUUGGUCGUCAUGAAAAAAAACAUAAGGGAUAACACCGUUGUCUUUGUCAAAUAAAAUAUAAGUGGUAACAUAUUUGAAAAAAAUAAAUAAAUUGUCCUUGUCAAAUAAAAUAUUUUCAUCAGUCAUCAUGGCAAAAAAACAUAAGGGGUCGUUUUUAUCAAAUGAAACGUAAAGGGUAACACUGGCAUCGUUUUUUAUCUGUCGUCAUGAAAAACUCAUAAGGGGUAACACUGUCGAAAUGUAUCGAAUAAAACAUUGUUGGGGUAAUUGUAAUUAAACAUUAAAACACCUGCGAUUUAUAGUCCAGUGCGGCUUAUAUAUGUACACAUAAUUAAAUUUAUCUGCUGCGGCUUAUACUCCGGUGCGCCUUAUAGUGCGGAAAAUACGGUAUAUAUUACAUGAAAGCUGAGCCUCCACUUAUUCCAACAGUCCAAACCAUAUCAUUCUGUACUUAAAAUCGCAAAUAACAACUUAAGAAGAAACGUCCCCUUUUCUUUUAACAACCAAAAAUCAAGUAUUACCUUUGUGAUUUUUGUCCACAAAGUUGAUUCUGAUCGAAUAAAACCACCAUAAACAGUUUAUCCAGUGUCUGGGCCAAAUUUUGCAACUAAACAUGGUGUUUUCAAUCAAUGAAUAAGAGAAGGUUUCUUAGGAAAUAGGUAAAUUGCCUUCAAUCAGAAAACAUAUUUUUCAGCACAAUCUAGUGGCCAUAUAUUUAUUUGCGAGUGUUUGGCUUGUAUUGGUGCAUUCGAUUAUAUUUGCCCUGAACUUUAAAUAGAGGUGUCAAGUGUCAAAAUUGUAAGAUAUCUACCUUUAUUUGUGUCUCAUAGUAAGACAGCGCUCCCAACUGAUAACGACCAACUGAUAAUUAUUUCAGGUGGAAAUGUUAUCUUCCACUUAUGCUGUGUUCCAUGGCUUUAUUCACUUUAACCAAGUAUUAUCCCCAUUGAAUAUUUCACUUGCACACCAAUCUUUCUUUUGGCACAAAUAUGACAUUAUCGCCCUUGCAGUUGUGGAGAUAUACUCUAUUUACUUUGGGUAUGUUGUUUCCUGAAAAAAACUUUUCCCCUGAUAUCGAAAAUGGUAUAGAAUAUCGAUAUUUUUCCAGGUAUAGUGUCGAAGUUAGAAAAUCCAGUGUCGUGACUGACAACACUACUAGAAACACGAUUGUGAUUAUUCAGUUAGAGCUACAAGAAACUUGAAAUUUAAAAAAUACAUAUCUUUGCUACUACCUCUGACAUUUAGUUAUGUACAUUUGCAUAAAAUCAUGCAGGUCUACAUAUAUCUUGGCGAUAGCUUUAAUAGGUUGCAACGGUGGACUGAAAUCACUUCAUGGCACGAUGUGACCGCUCGAUAAAUAAGUAAACAAAGAGAAGUUUGUUAUUUUUUAAACACAACAUGUGUGGAAGCUAACAUUCAGCUUCAGUCUGAGCUAGGAUGAUUUUUCUGAGCCCCCCCAAAAC
Gadus macrocephalus (Pacific cod) is the source of this 2309-nucleotide long non-coding RNA. RefSeq lists it as uncharacterized. The transcript is spliced from 2 exons. NCBI's taxonomy places the organism in Eukaryota, Metazoa, Chordata, Actinopteri, Gadiformes, Gadidae. The record is from RefSeq and is a predicted model, not a curated record.